GCAAGAGCACAAGAAAAAAUAUCCGAGCACGGGAAAAACAAAAAAUAGAAAUCCGAGGAACGAACCAAGCCUCACCCAAGGACAGCAGUCUAUACUUCCUCUGUGGUGUGUCUCACACUAUGAAGUGCAUAACAGAUCAUCUGCUUCGUCACAAGUACGGCAUGAAUGGCGAACAUAAAAUCAACUAUGACCGUUACUGUAUACUUCAGGAGGUCAACAGCGAGCAGCAGCUCCGUGUAGUACCAAAACUGACAAGAGAGCAUGUGAACCCCGACACUUUGAGAAAAAUGAAUCUGCGGCUGGCUGUUCAGGCAGGUGUAAUUGCACACAUUCUUGUUGCUCUUAAGUUAUGGUGAAAUUGUUGCAUGCGUAGCAGAACAUGUCUAAAAUUGUUGCGUUCUUUGCAGCUUUUCAGCCGAAGCACUGACAUUGGCCUAAACAUGCACAGAAGACUUCAACAUCCCGGCCUUGAAAACUGUGAUGGAACAGCGCCGUUCACAUUACUGGUGAACGAUCUCUUUGAUGGCCUAAAAAGAAGCUGACACGUUUUGGGAUAGGAAGCUCAUCAAAAGAAAUUGAUGGGUUCUUCGGAGUCACUAGAUGCAUGGAAGGGGAUGAAGACCACCUGACUAUCAUGAGCUCGCAUAUAUGCACACUUUU
Non-coding RNA from Dermacentor andersoni, 660 nucleotides. The record is from RefSeq and is a predicted model, not a curated record. Lineage: Eukaryota; Metazoa; Arthropoda; Arachnida; Ixodida; Ixodidae.